GGGGGGGGGGGAAUGGGGACAGCCUGCAGCCUGAAACAAUGACAGGAUGGAAAGAUCAGUGCAAAGAAACCUUUGAAACAGAACUGCUUAAAGAGCAAAAAAACCUAGAAGAGAGGUGGCUGGAAAAUGGGAUUUCUUUCUUCCUUUUUUUAAGGCAGUUAAUAAUCACCAGGAUGGGCCAAACAAAUUGUUGAGAAUAUGAUGGGCUGAAAAUAUUGACUUGAAAUGAAGGGAAGUUUUUUAGCACCACUGAGUAAGGAAAUGUCUCUGUGGCCACUAAGUAUCUUCUUUCUAUAGAUUCUACGUCUUGACCACUUUUUUAAUGAUUCUUGUGGUAUAACUAAGAAACUGGCUUACUACUAAACAAGAACUAGCAUAAUAUGUUACUGUGAUGGUAGAAUAAGACCACGCUGGAAUGGUUGACAUUAUCCUCAGCAGCUAAUUUACCCUUCCAGUAAAUGGAUGAUUUGGCAUCUAUGGCAGGCAUUUUCUGAGUGGGCAACUAUUUGGGAAAUGAGCCUUACCACAUCCUCCAAAUGCACUUUCAGCCUCAAAUCUAUUUCCGAGAUAACAAUAAUCAUUUGUGUGUGUGUGUGUGUGUGUGUGUGUGUGUGUGUGUAGCUACCAUUUAUUUAUUUACUCAUUCAUUCAUUCUAUCAAUCAUUUGUUUAUUUUAAAUGUAUAGGCCUACCCCCAUCUUCCUGUCCAGGCAGACUCUGGCUGGCUUACUGUCAGAAAAGCUCAUUCACACAAGGCCAACAAAUUGGUCUAGCUUAUGAUGUAUGGAAGAAGAAAAUAAUUGCCAAGGGUAUCGCAGAUAUUAAGUCCAUAAGUCCUAUCAGUCUCAAAUUUCUUAAGGCAGUACUAUUGUGGGACUGAUGGGCAUUCUGGGCUAAAACUCUGACAAGAUUCAGAUUUCAAGGAGGCUAAUUAAAACCUUGUUCAAACACACAUCUGUGGGGAAGAAGGAAAAGAAAACGGGAACAGAUAAGCAUAAACUGAAAGUGUUUGAACAGUUCUACAGUACGGUACUAAGAUACAAGAUAACUGAAAGUAUUAAGUAUUAAAAUUAUUAUGAAUCUUUCAAUCAUGCAUCUUAAAUUACAAAAGUUUAAUUUAAGGUGGUAUCAAUUACUUUUCAUCAAACAGAUAUUACUGAGAUAUAUUAGGUAUAUACACAAAGUAUUGGAAAAUACUAAAUGUUUGUGCAUACUAUUGGGAGAGUGGAAAAAUAGCCUAUAUUUCCUCAGUCAGAUCUACUGCUUCUAUUUCCAUUAUAUUCAGCAUAGAGGACUUAAAUACAUUAACAAAAUUCCAAAGCUUAAAAUAAACUUAUGUGCAUAAGGCAGGCCUCAAGAUGUUUUGUUUAUUUAGAGCUUCUAAAUAAGUCUGAAGUCUGGAUUUUUAAAACUAAAACCAUAUUUUUAAAAUUAGAUGUUGCUUUGUUUGGACAAAAGAGGAGGGGGCCAGAUUGUGUUUAUUAUAUGUAUAUUGUAAACUAUUCUAUUAGAAGAGAACAUAUAGCUGAAAUGGACCAUGGCCUAUUCUAACUAAAACUUUUUCAGUGUCUUACGUAGCCCAAUAUAGUGACAAGUGCCUGCUUGUAUGUGUGCU
Non-coding RNA from Pseudonaja textilis, 1614 nucleotides. NCBI's taxonomy places the organism in Eukaryota, Metazoa, Chordata, Lepidosauria, Squamata, Elapidae. The record is from RefSeq and is a predicted model, not a curated record.